Molecule: long non-coding RNA, 314 nt
Filed under: Papio anubis (olive baboon)
Lineage: Eukaryota; Metazoa; Chordata; Mammalia; Primates; Cercopithecidae
Description: lncRNA (ENSPANG00000043310.1)
Source: RNAcentral
AUGCCAUUUUGUUAAUUGUUUUUUAACUAAUACAUCAUUUUUUUCCUUUCUUUCUCUCUUGCUAUCUUCUGUAAUUUGGUCAAUUUUUCAUGGUGGUUCCAAAUCAACUUUGCAAGGGAAAAACAAAGGCUCAGUUUCAGACCGGAAUCUAUACCAUCAACUCCCCAGCCAUCGAGCCUUUGAACUGUUCCAUUGACUUUUCUGGGUUUCUAGCCUGAAGAUGGCUGAUUGUGGGACUUCUCACCCUCCAUAGUCAAGUGAGUCAAUACCUUAUGAUAAAUCUCCUUAUAUAUACACAUUUGACCCUUCAACAA